UUCUGGGGCAAGCGAACCGUUUUUCCUCCGCUACCCUCUCACCCACCGACACCUCCACCGUCCGCUCCCGCGCCUGGAUCCCGCGACGGCGCCGCCGGCUCCCGUCCACCGUCCGCAGAUCCCAUCGCCGGCUCCCGUCCGCGUCCUGCAAAUCCCGCCGCCGCCACUCGGUUCGCCCUGCCCGUGUCCUGCAAAUCCUGCCGCUGCCGCCCGAUUCGCUGUGCCCGCCUCCCUGCCGCAGCCGGGCUUGGCCCCCACCGCCGGCCGCCCCUGCCUACCAUCCUCCAACCGUCGCCGCGCCCCUGGGCUUGGCCCCCUGCUGGCCGCCCCAGCCCGCCUCCCUGUUCAGGUGAAUCCAUGUGAAGGCGAAUCAAUGUUCUCUAUGAUUUGAUUUGCUGAUAUUUUCCUGGCUGCCAUGAGGAGAUUUGAGUGUGAUGUAGAACCCAAUAAUUGUUUGGUUUUUGAAGAUGCACCAUUGGGUGUUGCAGCAGCAAAAACUGCUGGAAUGCAUGUAGUGAUGGUCCCAGAUGCAAGGUUGGAUGUUUCACAUCACAAAGAAGCUGACCAAGUUCACAGUGAUGUGGGUCUGUCCUGGUGUGAUGUAGCGUCUGAUGUAACCUCAGCGUCUGAUGUAACCUCUAAUUAUCAUCAGCAAUGGAAACUUAAUUAUCUGAUAUUGGAUCUGUGCUCUCCAGUUUAUGUUUUUUUGUCCUGGAUCUCGUUCAGUACAUGAGGCCUUCUUUAAUCGGAUGCUAACGUUUCUGUUUA
Molecule: long non-coding RNA, 768 nt
Organism: Setaria italica (foxtail millet)
Lineage: Eukaryota; Viridiplantae; Streptophyta; Magnoliopsida; Poales; Poaceae
Exons: 4
Source: RefSeq, a predicted model, not a curated record